Molecule: long non-coding RNA, 2232 nt
Organism: Amphiprion ocellaris (clown anemonefish)
Lineage: Eukaryota; Metazoa; Chordata; Actinopteri; Pomacentridae
Source: Ensembl
GGAUUGCAAAACAACACCUGGGAAAAGUCUAAUUUGUAAUUUGUAAGUUCAUCACAGGGAAGUUGUUCUUGUAGUCCAGAGAGAAAUCUGAAAAUACAACAGCGAACUGAGGAAGAAAAGUGCAUUUUUAAAAGAACUGUCAAAGCAAACAACGUUGAGUUACUGAUUAGAAAUGGUUGGCUGUGUGCUCAAUAUGUUCAGUUCAAAUUAGUUGGAUUUCUUGAGACAGAAAGUUGGUUCCAAAAAGACAGGAUCAUAUGAGAGAAGACUGGCUGAUUUAUUUGGGAUAUGCUGGAUAACAAGGAGGCCUGUUUACAUACCGCCGUACAUGUUUAUAAGGAUUAUGAGCGUGUGUGACAGAAGGAGAUCUUUUCUUUUGCUGUUUGCCUGAGAUUUCUGGCUCCACACAGAGGUGAAUGUUUUCAAGUGGCAAACAUGAGACCGUGUGGAUGUAAUGUCUAACCUGCAAACAAAACAGAAACACGAGGACCUCGUUUAUUUUCCCAGAUCAUCAGGUCUAACUCGCAGUGAUCUACAGCCCAGAAACCAAAUCAUAAUGGCAGCUGUGAACAUGAUACAAACAAAUCUGGAUGUGUUUUCCUCAAAUUCGCUGCACCAAAAGAUUCAUCACUUAAAAGAAGUCUCGAGAAAGCUCACGGUUGUGUCUUGACUUUCUAAAAAUAUGCUUAUUUUGGAGAAAAAGACACAUUUUGUAUUUAUUGCUUCCCUUUUCUCAUGUUUAACUACAGAGACUAUCUUAAAACUAGACAACGAAAAGCACUUAGAAGUCAUAAUCCUACUAAUAUUUUCGGCUUAACAUUUAAUUUCUGACUUGUUUCUAUUUUAGCUACUCCUGCAUUGUGACAUUUUCCAUUGCAGAUACUGUAUUGACAACAGUUAAAUGCAUUGCUGCAUACAGAAGCCUCUUUUUACUUAUUAUACCAAUAAAAAGUCCAAUUUUCCUGGAGUUAAAAUUGUAAAAGAGAGUUUUUUUAUGGCGAGCAGUCGACACAGAUUUACGUCUUCUAUGGUGCUGACAUGGUACUUUAAAAACGUCCGGGGUUGGCAGGUUUAAAACACAUGGAGAGCAGCGGCACAUCACUGGAUGUGUGAUGUGGACAGAGGUCACCUGGAGCGGUGAAGUUCAGUUACUGUACACGAGUUGAGUUUGAGGGGAGAUGUAGCCCUUGCUCGAUGCCACUGUCACGUAAAGCCAUGUUUUUCCUUUGACACAAAGACAGCCUCAGCCGAGUCAACACGCUGCUGUACACAUCAGUGUCUUACUCUCUGUCAAUGUUCAGAUCAGAGACAAACGCUGUCUGUCUGACCCCCCCGUCGUGUUACCGACACUCCCUCCUUUUUUUCCAUUGGCAGGCUGUUUGUUUGUUUGUGGUGAUGUCCUUGUUUCUGUUCAAUCAUUCAGGAUGUUUUUUUGUCUCUUUUUACCGACAACAUGCAAGUACAAAUGCUACUAUGGUCUUUAAAGCUAACUGUGAUGUGCAUUACUUCCACUGUUGCUUAAUCUUGUUCGGAUUAUUUUCUCCACGCAUUGACUGGCAAGCUAAUAGCCCUCCUUUCUUUCUCUGCUGUGACCUUUGCUCCCCUCUCCUCUCUUUCCGCAGUCUUCUGCCCUCCGUGAACCUACAGUACUAACAAUUUUUAGACGUCUUGUGGACGCUUGGCUUCAGUGCUGUGUCGUUUUAAUUUCAUUGCACUCUUAUUGAAGAAAAAAGUUUGAGAAGUCACAUUUAAUUUUCCUAGAAUGCUUACUAUUAUCUAUGUCCGUACACCGUUUAUUUUUUUUCUACCAUUUUAGUUGCUUCUCUUCGAUUUUAAUCAUUAGUCAUUUUUAUGUUGGCAACCUCAAACAUUUGCAGCAAAAACGCCAGUCUGAGGAGUUUCAUUGCUUCAUAUUGUGAUCUGAAAUUUUAUACAUGUCAUAAUAAUACUUGAUAUGUACCUAUUAAAUAUUUGGAUUCGAGAAAAUAAGUCUAUUCUUUAGUUUUUGCCCUGUGUUUUACUGAUUGAAUGUGGCAAAUAAGUUUAGAUUUCAGAGUAAAAUGUAACAUCAGAAUGUAGAUAGUGAUGUUAAUGUUUGCUCUUUAAAAUUCGACUCAACUUGGCCAGUUACAUUUAGACUUUUUAAAGCUUUUCAGAUUUCUAUUUUGCGAAACUUAAGGUAUUCUCUUAAUCAUAUAAUUUAGCAAACUGCAUUUUUUUCCUAUAUGUCCC